RNAcentral lists this ribosomal RNA (481 nucleotides) under uncultured bacterium. RNAcentral describes it as "partial 16S ribosomal RNA". It matches the Rfam family "Bacterial small subunit ribosomal RNA", at positions 28 to 507 of the family's 1533-position model. The record is from RNAcentral.
GACGAACGUUGGCGGCAUGCUUAAUACAUGCAAGUCAACUGAAGCAGUGGUAGCAAUAUCGCUGUGGAGGUGGCGCACGGGUGAGUAACACGUAGGUAAUCUGCCUUCAGGUCUGGCAUAACUCCGGGGAACCGGGGCUAAUAGCAGAUGAUGCAGCGGCUCGACAUCGAGACAGUUGUUAAAGCUAUGGCGCCUGAAGAUGAGCCUGCGUCUGAUUAGCUAGUUGGCGGGGUAACGGCCCACCAAGGCAACGAUCAGUAGCUGGUCUGAGAGGAUGAUCAGCCACACUGGAACUGAGACACGGUCCAGACUCCUACGGGAGGCAGCAGUAAGGAAUAUUGCUCAAUGGGAGAAAUCCUGAAGCAGCAACGCCGCGUGAGGGACGAAGGGCUUUUGCUUGUAAACCUCUGUAGUGAGAGAAAAAAAUCCCAAUCUUUGGGACAUGAUGGUAUCUCAAAAGUAAGCCCCGGCUAACUACGUG